RNAcentral lists this long non-coding RNA (289 nucleotides) under Durio zibethinus. RNAcentral's name for it is "long non-coding RNA (DZIB_LNC001313)". The record is from RNAcentral. Lineage: Eukaryota; Viridiplantae; Streptophyta; Magnoliopsida; Malvales; Malvaceae.
UUCAUUUGAUGUAGUAAAUGAGCGAAGCUUUUGAAUAUAAGGGAUGUUUGUAAGUAAUUGGCUUUUUCUUAGUUUUGGAUUCAAAAUUUUAAAUAAUCUCAUAUGUAAUUUAAAGCCCUAAUUUUUCCCAAGACAUGGUUCCAUGGCCAUAAUAUUCAAGGAACAAAAUCCCUUCUUACUUCUUUCCUCUAGAAGAAUAAUGGAGGGGAGCUAAUCAAACAUGGGUGAGGCUCCAUUUCUGAUACACUGGAGAUGAAAUCAUGGGAGAGGCUCAAGUCUCUUUGACCAC